This is a long non-coding RNA of Antechinus flavipes (yellow-footed antechinus), 1946 nucleotides long. RefSeq lists it as uncharacterized. NCBI's taxonomy places the organism in Eukaryota, Metazoa, Chordata, Mammalia, Dasyuromorphia, Dasyuridae. The transcript has 4 exons. The record is from RefSeq and is a predicted model, not a curated record.
AAAGAUAGAGAAGUACUUUGGGGAUGUGGUACUUCAAGAUGAGCUUUAUAGGAAAGUAGAGAGUCUAAUAGGCUUAAAUGAGCCAGGAGAGUGUUCUAGACACAAGGACAGCCUGUAUCUUGGAUUAAAAAAAAAAAAAAAAUGGAAUGUUGUAUCUGAGGGAGAGUCAAUAGGAAAAUAUAGAAAGCACCUUUUUCACAGUGAGAAAAUUUGUUUUUUCUUUUUUUUAAAUCUGCAUUUUAUUCUAUGGACUAUACAUUAAAGAGGAGGAGUGGGGCUAAUCUAACUUGCUUCUUGUUGAAUAGAAGUAGCAUCUCUAAUGAAAAUUACAUGAAGCUGAGGAGCAGCAGGUGGCAGCAGUGAGAAUUGCCUAGCAGGAGGGAGCAGCUGAGAUAUAAUGUCUGGACAGGGGCAGCUCAACAGAGAGGAGGGCAUUACCAGUAAACAAUAGUGCCCCUGCAUCCUUGGAGAAAAAAUGAAUGAAGAUUUUAGUCAGAGCCCUGACCACAACUCCAGUCCAAACAAGAAAACCAUCCAGAGUCUGAAAAAUUCAGGACUCGUAGGUAGGAGCCGAACUAAGAAGGUUGCCCUUCCGCCCCUCUAUUUUUCCUUCUAAAACCAAACUUUAAAACAGCAGCAACAACACUAUAGUGAAAAAAAAAAAUCCACUUAAAACUGGAUCCCUACGGAGGAUUUCCCCAGCACCACAGGACCGCAGGCUGAGAAGAAUCCCCCGGAGAGUAGAUUAAAUGGGGCAGAGGAUUCGAGAUGAAGUGCGGAUCGAGCUGAACCAGGAGUGCAAACUGGAUCUCUCCGAAGGGAAGAGAUGCUUUUUUCAGGUCGAGAGGCUGCUGGGGAAAGUCCAAGGCCUUGAGAAUGGAGUCUCAAUCUGAAGAAGGAAAAGAAUGAGAAGAAAAAGAACAAGAAGAAGAAAAAAGAGGAUUGUUUACUAUAUAUGUUCCGCAUUGAGUAUUUGGGGCACAAAUGCAGGCAAAAUAAAAAAGUUGUUCCUGCCUGUAAAGAGUUUAAAUUUGAAUAGGGGAAGAUCUCAACAAAAGGAAGAUGAAAGAUGGGGAUGAGAGAUGGCAGGGGAAGGGAGAAAGAUAACAGUGUCUGGAUCAUAGUGAUGAAAUCUGAGAAUGAUGGAUGGGGUUUCUUCAAAGUGAAAGGUCCAGGAAGAAUUCAUCAAAGAGAAAACGAGGCCUUGGGAGUGAAGAAAAAAGACAUGGUGGCAAAUUCCAGAGGAAAAAGUCAUGUAGAACCUCAGAGCUGGGAGGUCCCUCAGAUGUCAUCUUGUAUAAUUUGUAUUUAAAACAGGAAUAGCCUUUGCAAUAUUCUGGAAAAAUGGUCAUCCAGAAUCUACCUGAUGAGCUUCAAUGAAGGGUGAUACCCACUCCUUCCUCACCUAGAGCUAGGAGAAGAUUCUCUAUUGAAUAUAACUAAACACUUUUUUCCACUUUUUUAUAAGGAUAUCCUUUGCUCAGAACCUUAGAUUCACUAAUAAUAACUAAGGGAACUGAGAAAAGGAAAAACAAUUAGAGAAAGAUGUUUCAGGAAAAUGAAACAGAAUCAGAGAAAUUCAUUCCCUAUAUCUGAAAGACUUCAAGACUCUGGUGAGGAAGGACAUGUCUUGGGACACUGUGAGACAAUUUUAAAUAAGAUUUUGAAUUCCAUUAUUUUCUUCCUUCUCCCUCUUUCCUAAGAUGUAUGCAAUUUGAUAUAGAUUAUAUAUGUGCAAUCAUAUAAAAUAUUUCCAUAGCCAUGUUAUCAAAAAACAGAACAAAAGAUAAAAAAAGCUAUCAAAAAAUAAAGUGAAAAUACUAUGCUUUGAUCUGUAUUCAGACUCUAUCAGUUCUUUUUCUGGAUGUGAAUAGCAUUUUCUAUUAUGAGUUUUUUGGAAUUUGACCCACAUCUUGAAGGAAAAGUUUGGUUGAACACAAUAGAGC